AUGUCUGGGAAACUGCCUGAUGGAGGGGGAUAACUACUGGAAACGGUAGCUAAUACCGCAUAACGUCUUCGGACCAAAGUGGGGGACCUUCGGGCCUCACGCCAUCAGAUGUGCCCAGAUGGGAUUAGCUAGUAGGUGGGGUAAUGGCUCACCUAGGCGACGAUCCCUAGCUGGUCUGAGAGGAUGACCAGCCACACUGGAACUGAGACACGGUCCAGACUCCUACGGGAGGCAGCAGUGGGGAAUAUUGCACAAUGGGCGCAAGCCUGAUGCAGCCAUGCCGCGUGUGUGAAGAAGGCCUUCGGGUUGUAAAGCACUUUCAGCGAGGAGGAAGGGUGGUGUGUUAAUAGCGCAUCACAUUGACGUUACUCGCAGAAGAAGCACCGGCUAACUCCGUGCCAGCAGCCGCGGUAAUACGGAGGGUGCAAGCGUUAAUCGGAAUUACUGGGCGUAAAGCGCACGCAGGCGGUUUGUUAAGUCAGAUGUGAAAUCCCCGCGCUUAACGUGGGAACUGCAUUUGAAACUGGCAAGCUAGAGUCUUGUAGAGGGGGGUAGAAUUCCAGGUGUAGCGGUGAAAUGCGUAGAGAUCUGGA
This 593-nucleotide ribosomal RNA is filed under the name uncultured bacterium. Its description in RNAcentral is "bacterial SSU rRNA". It matches the Rfam family "Bacterial small subunit ribosomal RNA", at positions 113 to 702 of the family's 1533-position model. The record is from RNAcentral.